AAGGAUCAUUAUUGAUUGCGAAUGUUGCCUUCAGUGCUGGCCAGCAGCUCGCUCUGGCAAGUGCACGUCGGUGGCUUUCAUCCACUACCCUGUGCACCUUUGGCCUCUUGCUAGCUUCGGCCGGCAGAGGAAUUUUACACAACUCGAAUGUAAUGAAAUUUACUGUCGUGCGCAAGCACUAAUGUACAACUUUCAACAACGGAUCUCUUGGCUCUC
This 216-nucleotide unclassified non-coding RNA is filed under the name uncultured fungus. RNAcentral's name for it is "partial contains 18S rRNA, ITS1, 5.8S rRNA, ITS2 and 28S rRNA". Lineage: Eukaryota; Fungi. The record is from RNAcentral.